Molecule: ribosomal RNA, 1378 nt
Filed under: metagenome
Description: SSU rRNA
Rfam family: Eukaryotic small subunit ribosomal RNA
Source: RNAcentral
GGAGAAUUAGGGUUCGAUUCCGGAGAGGGAGCCUGAGAAACGGCUACCACAUCUAAGGAAGGCAGCAGGCGCGUAAAUUACCCAAUCCUGAUUCAGGGAGGUAGUGACAAGAAAUAACAACCUGGGGACCUCAUGGUCUUACGGGAUUGCAAUGAGAACAAUUUAAACGACUUAACGAGGAACAAUUAGAGGGCAAGUCUGGUGCCAGCAGCCGCGGUAAUUCCAGCUCUAAUAGUGUAUAUUAAAGUUGUUGCAGUUAAAAAGCUCGUAGUUGAACUUCUGGCUGUUGCUGGCGUUGGCUUCGGUCAUGCCAGUAGCGGUCAUCCGUCUGCAAACUGCAUUAGCACUUCAGUGGGCUGUGUAGGGAGUAGACAUUUUACCUUGAAAAAAUUAGAGUGUUUCAGGCAGGCCUUUGCCCGAAUACAUUAGCAUGGAAUAAUGGAAUAGGACUCGUCCUUUUUGUUGGUUAUUGGUUACGAGUAAUGAUUAAUAGGGACAGUUGGGGGCAUUAGUAUUUAAUUGUCAGAGGUGAAAUUCUUGGAUUUAUUAAAGACUAACUUAUGCGAAAGCAUUUGCCAAGGAUGUUUUCAUUAAUCAAGAACGAAAGUUAGGGGAUCAAAGACGAUCAGAUACCGUCCUAGUCUUAACUAUAAACUAUACCGACUCGGGAUCGGCCGGGCUUUUACCUCGGUCGGCACCGUAUGAGAAAUCAAAGUCUUUAGGUUCUGGGGGGAGUAUGGUCGCAAGGCUGAAACUUAAAGGAAUUGACGGAAGGACACACCAGGUGUGGAGCCUGCGGCUUAAUUUGACCCAACACGGGGAAACUUACCAGGUUAAAACAUCGUUGGGAUUGACAGAUUGAGAGCUCUUUCUUGAUUCGAUGGGUGGUGGUGCAUGGCCGUUCUUAGUUGGUGGAGUGAUUUGUCUGGUUAAUUCCGUUAACGAACGAGACCUUAACCUGCUAACUAGUUCCUUGGUUCUUACUGGGGUAACUUCUUAGAGGGACUAUGGGAAGGAAGCCCAUGGAAGUUUGAGGCAAUAACAGGUCUGUGAUGCCCUUAGAUAUCCUGGGCCGCACGCGCGCUACAAUGACACUUGCAGAAAGUUCUAUCCUGGCUCGGAAGAGUUCGGGUAAUCUUCUUAGUGGGUGUCGUGUUAGGGAUCGAUCUUUGGAAUUAUAGAUCUUGAACGAGGAAUAUCUAGUAUGUGCAAGUCAUCAGCUUGUACAGAUUAUGUCCCUGUCUUUUGUACACACCGCCCGUCGCUGCUACCGAUCGAGUGGUCCGGUGAACCUUUUGGAUUGAGUGUUGCCUCGUGUGACAUUUGAGAAGUUAAGUAAACCUUAUCACUUAGAGGAAGCAGAAGUCGUAACAAGGUU